GAUGAACGUUAGCGGGAGGCUUAACACAUGCAAGUCGAGGGGCAGCAUAGGGUAGCAAUACUCUGAUGGCGACCGGCAAACGGGUGAGUAACGCGUAUGCAACCUACCCUGUACAGGGGGAUAACCCGGAGAAAUUCGGACUAAUAUCCCGUAAUAAUAUCCGGAGGCAUCUUUGGAUAUUUAAAGUUCCGACGGUACGGGAUGGGCAUGCGUAACAUUAGCUGGUUGGUAAGGUAACGGCUUACCAAGGCUAUGAUGUUUAGGGGUCCUGAGAGGGUGGUCCCCCACACUGGUACUGAGACACGGACCAGACUCCUACGGGAGGCAGCAGUGAGGAAUAUUGGUCAAUGGGCGCAAGCCUGAACCAGCCAUCCCGCGUGCAGGAAGACGGCCCUAUGGGUUGUAAACUGCUUUUCCAGGGAGAGAAACUUACGCACGUGUUGCGUGACUGACGGUACCCUGGGAAUAAGCAUCGGCUAACUCCGUGCCAGCAGCCGCGGUAAAACGUCUA
This 511-nucleotide ribosomal RNA is filed under the name uncultured bacterium. RNAcentral's name for it is "bacterial SSU rRNA". It matches the Rfam family "Bacterial small subunit ribosomal RNA", at positions 28 to 531 of the family's 1533-position model. The record is from RNAcentral.